UGAGGUCUGUGAUGUGUUUAAAUUGCCUACAUUGGCUGAUUAUGUUUUAAACUGAUGUGUUCCAACAGUCUGAGACCUCU
Molecule: small nucleolar RNA, 80 nt
Organism: Abrus precatorius (Indian licorice)
Lineage: Eukaryota; Viridiplantae; Streptophyta; Magnoliopsida; Fabales; Fabaceae
Product: small nucleolar RNA SNORD34
Exons: 1
Source: RefSeq, a predicted model, not a curated record